GAUGAACGCUGGCGGCGUGCCUAAUACAUGCAAGUCGAACGCUGGAGAUCUAGCUUGCUAGCUCGAAGGAGUGGCGAACGGGUGAGUAAUACAUAAGCAACCUACCCACGAAGACUGGGAUAAUCUCUGGAAACGGGGACUAAUACCGGAUAGGUAAUCGGAAGGCAUCUUCUGGUUAUUAAAGGUUAAAAACACUGGUGGAUGGGCUUAUGGCGCAUUAGUUAGUUGGUGAGGUAACGGCCCACCAAGACGAUGAUGCGUAGCCGGCCUGAGAGGGUGAACGGCCACAUUGGGACUGAGACACGGCCCAGACUCCUACGGGAGGCAGCAGUAGGGAAGUUUCGGCAAUGGGGGCAACCCUGACCGAGCAACGCCGCGUGAGUGAAGACGGCCUUCGGGCUGUAAAGCUCUGUUGUAAGGGAAGAACGGUAGAUAGAGAAUAUCUAAGUGACGGUACCUUACCAGAAAGCCACGGCUAACUACGUG
This 486-nucleotide ribosomal RNA is filed under the name uncultured bacterium. RNAcentral describes it as "partial 16S ribosomal RNA". It matches the Rfam family "Bacterial small subunit ribosomal RNA", at positions 28 to 507 of the family's 1533-position model. The record is from RNAcentral.